Molecule: long non-coding RNA, 584 nt
Organism: Cajanus cajan (pigeon pea)
Lineage: Eukaryota; Viridiplantae; Streptophyta; Magnoliopsida; Fabales; Fabaceae
Source: RefSeq, a predicted model, not a curated record
UUAUAGCAUUCUUACAUCCAUGCAUAAGGAAAUUGAAUUUAAUCUACAAAGCAUUAAAUAUUUCCCAACCAUGAAGGCAAUUCUUAUUGCAUUCUUACUCUUGGCCUCUAUUUUCUUCCAUCCCAGUUCAACUCUAGCUCGACAACUGAAAGAAGCAGCAGUGAGGGAUAAGAUUGGGGAUCCUUCGGAUCCUAAUCAUCCAGUCAUUAAAUGUGAUCCUGGUAAACCGUAUAGUAGUUGCCUACCAGUACCACCACCAAAGUGUACUCUUCCAUAUAAGCGUAAUUGCUGAGGAAUGAUAAUUAUAUUUAUCUGGAUUCUAUCGAUCCCAUCCAGGGGACAAAUAUGUAGUCUUAAUAAGUUGAUGGUGCCACAACUUUUUAACACUAUGAUCCUGUGUUAAAACUUGCUGCUAUCACCUCUAUAUUUUGCCUUGGGAUUUCGUGUGGUUUGGCUGAAUAAGAAGCGUGUUUAACUGUUUAUCCCGUUUGAAGUUGCAAUAAUCUUGUAGUGUUGUGAUACAAAGGACUGGCCUUUAGGUUAGUCCAAUAAAUAAAAACUUGAUUAUGUGUCUUUCAAUUUUA